AUGAAUAAUAUGCUUUUGGCCGAGUAUACCAGGGAGGAGGUUUGCAAGGCUUUGUUCCAAAUAGGUGAUCUGAAGGCCCCGGGCCUAGAUGGACUUCACGCUAUUUUCUUUAAAAGAUUCUGGCACAUUGUGGGAGAGGAGUUGACAGAUGAGGCGUUGAAUGCUAUAUGUCAUAGAAAGAUCCAUACAGGUUGGAACUCAACGAACGUGACUCUCAUACCUAAGGUAAAUUCCCUCGAGGUGAUAACACAGUAUAGACCAAUAAGCUUGUGUAACGUGGUCUAUAAAAUCAUUUCGAAAAUGAUUGCAAAUAGACUUAAGCGGAUUCUCCCUGACAUUAUUUCUCCAACACAAAGUGCCUUCGUACCGGGAAGAUUAAUUACUGAUAAUGUGUUGGUAGCUUAUGAAUGUUUUCAUGCAAUCAAGAAAAAAACUCAUGGGUCAAAUGGGCUCUAUGCGGUAAAGUUGGAUAUGAAUAAAGCUUAUGACCGUGUUGAAUGGGGCUUUUUGGAGAAGAUAAUGUUGCAGAUGGGGUUUCAUGCACAAUGGGUGGAGCUCAUCAUGGAGUGUGUAUCCUCAGUAACCUACAGAGUCAGAUUUAACAACACCGAAACUGAUGAGUUUUCUCCUACAAGAGGCUUGAGGCAGGAUGACCCUAUAUCACCUUAUUUUUUAUUGUGUUCUGAAGGUCUCUCAAGUCUGCUUGCUCAUGAAUAGGAAAUGGGUGAAUUAGAUGGCGUGCGAGUGUGCAGGAAGGCCCCCUCAAUCUCGCAUCUGUUAUUUGCAGACGAAUCCCUGAUUCUUAUGAAGGUGGAUACCCAUAAUGCAGAUACUUUAAAAGGAGUUUUGGAGACCUAUUGCUCUAGUUCAGGGCAGCUGAUCAGUAAUGCAAAGUCAAGCAUAUAUUUUAGUCUGAAUACAAAUGUCCAAACCAGGGAAAAUAUUUGCAGAGAAUUAAAUAUUGUGACAGAAGCUUUAUCUGAUACGUAUUUGGGCCUACCGACUAUGGUAGGGGUGGACAGAAGCGACUGUUUUCAACACUUGAUUGAUAGAGUUUGUUAGAGGCUGAAGGGGUGGAAAGAGAAAACACUCUUGAUGCAAGGUAAAGAGAUAUUGGUAAAAUUAGUUGCCCAAGCGAUUCCUUCCUAUGCAAUGUCAGUUUUCAAACUUCCAAAAGGAAUCUGCAAAUCUAUUACUGAUGAAAUUGCUGGCUUUUGGUGGGGAGAUGAUGAAGAUAAGAAUAAAAUGUAUUGGUUUGCCUGGUGGAGAUUAUGCAUACCGAAGAAGGAAGGGGGAUUAGGGUUUAGGGACUUGCACAGUUUUAAUCUUGCUUUACUAGCAAAACAGUGUUGGCGACUAAUCCAGAACCCGGAUUCUUUAUGUGCUCAAGUUUUGAAGGCAAAGUAUUACCCAAACGGUGACAUUUUGAAUGCGGGGCCCAAGAAGAGCUCUUCUUACACUUCGCAGAGCAUUGUGGCUGACAUUCAGACUUUCAAGAGAGGUUGCAUUUGGCAUGUUGGAUCCGGAGCUAAUAUUGAUAUUUGGAAUGACCCCUGGAUACCAUCUAGUGCUACUAGAAAACUGAUUACACACAGAGGUGCAACAAUGCUAUCAAAGGUUGACGAGUUAGUAAAUCCACAUACGGGACAAUGGGACGAAUAA
RNAcentral lists this ribosomal RNA (1662 nucleotides) under Triticum aestivum (bread wheat). Its description in RNAcentral is "partial small subunit ribosomal RNA". The record is from RNAcentral. Lineage: Eukaryota; Viridiplantae; Streptophyta; Magnoliopsida; Poales; Poaceae.